UAUUUAUUUGAUAUUUGAUGA
RNAcentral lists this non-coding RNA (21 nucleotides) under Caenorhabditis elegans. The record is from RNAcentral. Lineage: Eukaryota; Metazoa; Nematoda; Chromadorea; Rhabditida; Rhabditidae.